Non-coding RNA from Pseudopodoces humilis (Tibetan ground-tit), 332 nucleotides. NCBI's taxonomy places the organism in Eukaryota, Metazoa, Chordata, Aves, Passeriformes, Paridae. The record is from RefSeq and is a predicted model, not a curated record.
AUGCAGAGAGAGAAGAGGAAUCUGUUCUUUUGUAAGAUGUCGCCCCCCUCUAAGAAGUAUUGGAAAAUGUACAGCACUAGCUGUGUGCUGCAGAAGGGUGAAAACCCUGAAAUUUCUGAUAAGAACAUCCCAUUUGCUUCUGACUGCUGGACCCAUCUCCUGGUGUUCCCUCCCGUCCCUGCCCGUACCAUGCCCAGCUGGGGUGACAGCAGCAGUGGCAGCUGCUCCUGCUGGGUGCUGCUGGGCUGGAGCCCUGUGGUGCCAGCCCCGCUGUCUUUGGGGCAGGGGCUGCUUUUCCCAGCUUGAAUAAAGACGAGCACUUUGGCAUUGCA